UGAGUACGAGAUGCUACGGCAUCGAAGCAGUCUAUGUCAUACUUCCAAGAAAAGCUUGCACUGUCAUAAACAAAGAAUGCCUGUACCAUAACCGACACAGGUGGGUAGGUAGAGUAUACUAAGGGGCGCGAGAUAACUCUCUCUAAGGAACUCGGCAAAAUGACUCCGUAACUUCGGGAGAAGGAGUGCCUUAUUUCUACGGUUGCAAUAACAAGAUCCAAGCAACUGUUUACCAAAAACACAGGUCUCCGCUAAGUCGUAAGACGAUGUAUGGGGGCUGACGCCUGCCCAGUGCCAGAAGGUUAAAGAAGUUGGUUAGCAUUAGCGAAGCUGAUAACUGAAGCCCUGGUGAACGGCGGCCGUAACUAUAACGGUCCUAAGGUAGCGAAAUUCCUUGUCGGGUAAGUUCCGACCCGCACGAAAGGCGUAAUGAUUUGGAUACUGUCUCGGAGAGGGGCUCGGUGAAAUAGACUUGUCUGUGAAGAUGCGGACUACCUGCACCUGGACAGAAAGACCCUAUGAAGCUUUACUGUAACUUGAGAUUGAAAUUGGACUUUAUUUGCGCAGUAUAGGUGGGAGGCGUUGAGAAUAAUCUUGCGGGAUUGUUGGAGCCAUCAGUGAGAUACCACUCUUGUAAUGUUAGAUUUCUAACUUUGUAUCAUUAUCUGGUCAAAGAACAGUUUCAGGCGGGCAGUUUGACUGGGGCGGUCGCCUCCCAAAGGGUAACGGAGGCGCACAAAGGUUUCCUCUGAACGGGUAGAAAUCGUAUCUAGAGUGUAAAGGCAUAAGGAAGCUUGACUGUGAGACCUACAAGUCGAGCAGGGACGAAAGUCGGUCUUAGUGAUCUGACGGUGCUGAGUGGAAAGGCCGUCACUCAACGGAUAAAAGUUACUCUAGGAUAACAGGCUGAUCUCCCCCAAGAGUUCACAUCGACGGGGAGGUUUGGCACCUCGAUGUCGGCUCAUCGCAUCCUGGGGCGGUAGUCCGUCCCAAGGGUUGGGCUGUUCGCCCAUGAAAGCGGUACGCGAGCUGGGUUCAGAACGUCGUGAGACAGUUCGGUCCAUAUCCGGUGUAGGCGUUAGAAUAUUGAGAGGAGCCUUCUCUAGUACGAGAGGACCGAGAAGGACAUACCUCUGGUGUACCAGUUAUCGUGCCAACGGUAAACGCUGGGUAGCUAUGUAUGGAGUGGAUAACCGCUGAAAGCAUCUAAGUGGGAAGCCCACCUCAAGAUAAGUAUUCUCAUC
This 1244-nucleotide ribosomal RNA is filed under the name metagenome. RNAcentral's name for it is "bacterial LSU rRNA". It matches the Rfam family "Bacterial large subunit ribosomal RNA", at positions 1564 to 2818 of the family's 2925-position model. The record is from RNAcentral.